Molecule: ribosomal RNA, 257 nt
Filed under: uncultured bacterium
Lineage: Bacteria
Description: partial 16S ribosomal RNA
Rfam family: Bacterial small subunit ribosomal RNA
Source: RNAcentral
UACGAGGGGGGCAAAUGUUGUUCGGAAUCAUUGGGCGUAAAGGGCGCGUAGGUGGCCACUUCAAGCGUGCGGUGAAAGUCGGGGGCUCAACCCCUGAUCGGCCGUGCGAACUGGGGGGCUGGAGCACUGUAGAGGCAGGCGGAAUUCCGGGUGUAGCGGUGGAAUGCGUAGAGAUCCGGAAGAACACCGGUGGCGAAGGCGGCCUGCUGGGCAGUUUUGCUGACACUGGAGGCGCGACAGCGUGGGGAGCAAACAGG